Spinacia oleracea (spinach) is the source of this 1008-nucleotide long non-coding RNA. RefSeq lists it as uncharacterized. NCBI's taxonomy places the organism in Eukaryota, Viridiplantae, Streptophyta, Magnoliopsida, Caryophyllales, Amaranthaceae. The transcript is spliced from 3 exons. The record is from RefSeq and is a predicted model, not a curated record.
UGAAAAUCAUUCUCCCUUGCUCCAUCUGAUUCGAGCCACCACAACAAACACCAUCAACAACCGCAACUGCCACCACCUCAACCACCAACUACCACCACUAUCACCUUCGUCCCACACCACUCAACCACCUCUGUCUCCGCCCAGAACUCAUCGGAAAACACCCCUCAAACCUCCCCUGCCCCUCGUCUCUUUCUCCCCUGCCGCACCACCGUACCGCAGCCACCGUCCACCAUCACCACCCUGCACCCUGAUCUCCGUCGCCCAAAAACCCCCGGUGCUCCGCUCUUACCGCCGCCCAGAACAGCCCAAAAAAUACCCCCCCUCCCCUGUCUUUCCCCUGUUUCGCGCGACCACCCUUUCCCCCUUCCCUGUUGUUCCGCCGCCGUGAACCAACAACCACCAUCACCGGCGCACCUUCGCGUCUCCGUGCCGCCCAGGAUUCAGCCACCGCCGUCCCUUCUUCCUCCUUCCCCUCUCCUCUCUCCUUCCUUUGCGUUGCUUCCCCUGUUCCUUCGAGCCUCAGUUUCGAAAAGAAACGAGUUCCAGUGAUUGGAACUUUGUUUCUUUUAUUCCUCAAAUUGAGCCCAACCCUUUGUUUUGGCCCAAUAUCCCAAAAAAUCGAACUCGGAGCUCAGGACGAACGAACCAAGGAAAAAGGCCUAGCAAUCAUGGAAUUGAGGUACUGCUGGGGACCACGGAAAUGAGUAGUGGCGAGGAUUUCACCAUUACCAUGUUCACCUAAGUCAAUGUUAAGUUGUAACAAGUUUAAGUAAAGAUUCUGGAUUAUGUUACGUACUUUUAUUAAGGAUUUAAAAAGGAUCAUUAUGUUAAUCUUGGAGUUUAAUAGCUUAUGAUUGAUGGUUGCCUUGUAAUUCCCAAGAGGGAGUUACGGCAGUAAUGUCCCGACCGAAUUAGGUUAAUUCCGCUGCUAAUUAUGCUUUAAUAAGUGAUUUAGAGGUCGGGGUGUUACACAGUCUUAUACAAAAGAUCGUCUGGGUAUAUAUAAGU